AGUGGUUCUCAACAGUUCAACAGUUCUUAGAGAAAAUUGUGAAAUGUUUAGGACCACUUG
Molecule: microRNA precursor, 60 nt
Organism: Lates calcarifer (barramundi perch)
Lineage: Eukaryota; Metazoa; Chordata; Actinopteri; Centropomidae
Gene: mir203a
Product: microRNA 203b
Source: Ensembl